CAAAUGCCAUGACUUAUUCUCUUUUAAUGCUGAGUAAUAUUCCAUUGUGUAUAUAUACCACAUUUUCUUUAUCCAUUCAUCUACUGAAGGACAUCUAUGUUGGUUUCACAAUUUAGUUAUUGUGAAUUGUGUUGCUAUAAACAUUGAUGUGGCUGUGUCACUGUAGUAGGCUGUUUCUAAGUCCUUUGGAUAUAAACCAAGGAGUGGGAUAGCAGGGUCAAAUGGUAAUUCCCUUCCAAGUUUUCCAAGGAAUCUCCAUACUUCUUUCCAUAUUGGUUGUACCAAUUUGCAAUCCCACCUGGAGUAGAAACAUAUCUCAACAUCAUAAAAGCUAUCUAUGCAAAGCCCCAGGCCAACAUCAUUCUAAAUGGAGAAAAAUUGAAGGCAUUCCCUCUAAAAACUGGAACAAGACAGGGAUGCUCUUUUUCACUACUUCUAUUUAAGAUAGUUCUUGAAACUCUAUCCAGAGCAAUUAGACAGACAAAAGAAAUGAAUAUGAAAAGAAGAACUCAAACUAGCACUAUUUGCCAAUGACAUGACUCUAUACCAGAGGAUCCAAAACUUCCACCAGAAAACUUCUAGAACUAAUAAAUGAAUUCAGCAAAGUAGCAGGAUAUAAAAUCAACACCCAUAAAUCAAAGGAAUUUAUGUACAUUAGUGACAAAUCCUCUGAAAGAGAAACUAGGAAAACUACCCCAUUUACAAUUGCCUCAAAAAUAAAAUACUUGGGAAUCAACUUAACAAAAGAGGUGAAAGACUUUUACAAUGAAAAUUUCAGAAUGUUAAAGAAAGAAAUUAAAGAAGACCUUAGAAAAUGGAAAGGUAUCCCUUGUUCUUGAAUAGGCAGAAUUAAUAUUGUCAAAAUGACCAUACUACCAAAAGCACUAUACAGAUUUGAUGCAAUUCCAAUCAAAAUCCAAAUGACAUUCCUCAUAGAAAUAGAAAAGGCAAUAAUGAAAUUCUUCUGGAUAAAUAAGGGACCCAAAAUUGCCAAAGCAAUCCUUAGAAUUGAUGUGUGUGUGUGUGUGUGUGUGUGUGUGUGUGUGUGUGUGUGGUGUGUGGGGUCAGAAUCAAGAUUCUCUAGUUUUCAUAUGCAUAUGCAUUGACUUGUUAUUAUUAAUGAUAAUGCUUUACCCAAUAUGUUAUAGGGUUACUUUUGUUAUAAAAUAAAUGACCAUAUUUAUGUAAAUCUGUUUCACUGUUUCAUUUUUUUUUCAUUCAAAUGUGUGACUUCUCAGUUAAUCCAUGGUUUUCAUUGGUCUUUAUGUAAGAAUAACUGGUAGGUGUUAAUGCAAUUUAUCAGAUGAACAGUUAGCAGCACUUUUAAAGUUAUAUUUCAAAUCUGCUGAAUCAUAAAGUUAUUCCUUGCUAGAGACAUUUUAUAGGUAAAAAAGAGUAGCUGGAUAAUAAUGAUUGAAUUGCAUUCUUCUUUGUCCAAAAAAGCACAUUGGUUAGAGAUCACAAUAUCUUUAUAAAACUGGUUAGGCUCCUCCCAAGAGCAAGAUUCAAGUGGGUGGUUUUCCAGAUUGACUCUUAAAUCAUUGAUAUCAGUCUUAAAAGCUUAUCAUUUUAUCAGGAAUGUUAAUUUCUGCCUGGAAGGGUGACAGAUUACAUCAGCUCAAAAUUUCUGUCAAAGGUCAGCUUUAUAACAAUUUUCUUUCUUAUAGGUGUUUUUCAGCAAACGUUUGUAAAGGAUUGAUUCUAAACUCCUGGAAAGAAAUGUUUCCCUAGAUGUUGAAGUCAAAGACCAGCUAUCUUCUUUAUUCAGUUUAUUCUAACUUAAUCCUUCAACCUGGACAUAUAAAAUAGAAUUUAAAAUUUUUAUGAAUUGCUUUUCCUUCCACACUUGGUAAGAGUGGCUGCAAAACUGACAAUUCAAGCCAGUUAGAAUAAUACUGAAAAAUUUUACCUUGUUCAUAUGUUGAAAAGCUCUUCUACUUUCAGCAAGAUUAGAAUUUUUUUUUCACUUUCAAAAUGUUUAUUUAAAUCUUAAUUUUGAAAUACAUAUUUUUUUUAUGUUUGAAUCAAAUGGGGUAUAAUUUCUCCUUUUUCCAAGUGUACAGGUUGCAGAAUCACAUUGGUUAUACAGCCACAUUUAUACAUACAGCAAUACUACUGUCUAUUUUAUUCUGCUGCCCUUCCUAUCUCCCCUUCCCCUCCCCUCUCCUCCCAUCACCUCUCUCUACCCAAUCUAAUGUGACACAUUUCUUUUUUUUUCCCUCACAAUCUGAAUUCUCCAAAAACAAAAUAAAUAAAUAAAUAAAAUAAACCAAAAUUCAUAUG
RNAcentral lists this long non-coding RNA (2283 nucleotides) under Marmota monax (woodchuck). Lineage: Eukaryota; Metazoa; Chordata; Mammalia; Rodentia; Sciuridae. The record is from RNAcentral.